UUCAGAGAUUAGCUUCCCAGGCUAGAUGGUGUUUUUUUUAUUAGUAGCUUAAUUAACAAGUCUUCACUCAAGCUUCCAAGUACAACAUCUAAGUGAAAGUAUUUUGUUCCUAAGAAAAUCUCAGCUCUAGGUAAAUGAAAUUUUGUAGUGAUCCACAUCUUUAGGGAAAUCAUCAGUAGUAGCUUUGACUCAUCACUCUUGCAAAACCCAACACCAAGUGGAGAAAGAGAGUGGUGUGAGCCUGUGGAAGUCAUUGGAAUAGACUUGCCUUUCCUGGUCUUCUGGACUCUGCAAUGCUUAAAAGAGGUGAAUGGAGGCACUUGGAGAGGCCCAAGAAAAAAAAUGUAAGAACUAGGGCUGCCUUGAAAUUCACAGGAAGGUUUAAACUGGCUCCGACCCAAGGAGAAAGAAUCAGAUUGUGGUUGGCAAUUGACUGAAAGAGAAAGGGAAGAAAUUUAAGUCAUGUAAAAUUUUUGAAUAAAGGAGUUGGACUUAAGUUCAAUGCAUAGGAAUAAAAGAAGAAGGGAGUAAAUCCUCCUACUCAACCCUCCACCUGAAAACUACAUACACACUAAGGAUUCUGGUUCCUGGCUAAAAACCUUUCUGAUUUUCCAGGCCUGACCAUGGACAGAUACAAAGUCUUUCCCAGAAGGAAUUUACUUUCUCCUUGACUCAGGACAAGCCAGCAUCUUGAACUCCUGUGCAUAAUCCUCUUACCUCUGGCAGAGACAAUGAAGUCCCUUCCCUUUCCUGCAUUUAUGCAGUUUAAGUCUGGUUCAUCAACAAAGACUAUUGUAACUAUUUCUAAAGCCUUCUUGGGGAGAUUUCUUUACUGGAGGAUUUUCUCUGAUGACUAGAGAAAAACAGCAAUUCCAUUUCCCCAUGGAUUAAUUAAUGGAAACCUCCUCCUCUGAUCUUUUUUCAUUAGUUCUCUUUAGUGUUAGGACUCCAAGAGUCUUCAUAAAUUGUGGGCCUCCUUUGAUAAAUCUAUCAAAUUUCUCAGAAUAAAUACACAUGAAUACAGAUUCUUAUGAAGUAUUGCUUUCUACAGAUUAGGGAUUUUUUUUUCACUUCCCUACCUUCUGAAAGGAUAAUGGCAUUUUUUAAGGCCUGUUGAGGUUCCCUGAGGAAGACACAUUAACAUUGUUGCCUGUUAGAAGCAGUGCUGUGAGAAGUUUACUUUGCUGAAGAUACUUCUUUAGCACAGAUUCUAAAUGUAGACCACUACCUCACUGUUUGAGCCCACACAUACCUAAAUAGUUC
RNAcentral lists this long non-coding RNA (1263 nucleotides) under Equus caballus (horse). RNAcentral's name for it is "lncRNA (ENSECAG00000058231.1)". The record is from RNAcentral. Lineage: Eukaryota; Metazoa; Chordata; Mammalia; Perissodactyla; Equidae.